GACGAACACUGGCGGCGUGCUUAACACAUGCAAGUCGAACGAAGAGCGAUGGAAGCUUGCUUCUAUCAAUCUUAGUGGCGAACGGGUGAGUAACGCGUAAUCAACCUGCCCUUCAGAGGGGGACAACAGUUGGAAACGACUGCUAAUACCGCAUACGAUCUAAUCUCGGCAUCGAGGAUAGAUGAAAGGUGGCCUCUACAUGUAAGCUAUCACUGAAGGAGGGGAUUGCGUCUGAUUAGCUAGUUGGAGGGGUAACGGCCCACCAAGGCGAUGAUCAGUAGCCGGUCUGAGAGGAUGAACGGCCACAUUGGGACUGAGACACGGCCCAGACUCCUACGGGAGGCAGCAGUGGGGAAUCUUCCGCAAUGGACGAAAGUCUGACGGAGCAACGCCGCGUGAGCGAUGACGGCCUUCGGGUUGUAAAGCUCUGUUAAUCGGGACGAAAGGCCUUCUUGCGAAUAGUGAGAAGGAUUGACGGUACCGGAAUAGAAAGCCACGGCUAACUACGUG
This 510-nucleotide ribosomal RNA is filed under the name uncultured bacterium. RNAcentral's name for it is "partial 16S ribosomal RNA". It matches the Rfam family "Bacterial small subunit ribosomal RNA", at positions 28 to 507 of the family's 1533-position model. The record is from RNAcentral.